GUAGGGUGCAAGCGUUAAUCGGAAUUACUGGGCGUAAAGCGUGCGCAGGCGGUUUUGUAAGUCUGUCGUGAAAGCCCCGGGCUUAACCUGGGAAUUGCGAUGGAGACUGCAAGGCUUGAAUCUGGCAGAGGGGGGUAGAAUUCCACGUGUAGCAGUGAAAUGCGUAGAGAUGUGGAGGAACACCGAUGGCGAAGGCAGCCCCCUGGGUCAAGAUUGACGCUCAUGCACGAAAGCGUGGGGGAGCAAACAGGAUUAGAUACCCUGGUAGUCCACGCCCUAAACGAUGUCUACUAGUUGUCGGGUCUUAAUUGACUUGGUAACGCAGCUAACGCGUGAAGUAGACCGCCUGGGGAUACGGUCGCAAGAUUA
RNAcentral lists this ribosomal RNA (369 nucleotides) under uncultured organism. RNAcentral describes it as "partial 16S ribosomal RNA". It matches the Rfam family "Bacterial small subunit ribosomal RNA", at positions 527 to 896 of the family's 1533-position model. The record is from RNAcentral.